CCGCGAAUUCGCCCUUGGGGUGCACCAGGCGCGAAAACUUUACAAUGCCGGCAACGGCGAUAAGGGGACCUCGAGUGCCAGGUUACAAAUCUGGCUGUCGAGAUGCCUAAAAAGCAUUUCAUAGCAAGGGCCGGGCAAGACCGGUGCCAGCCGCCGCGGUAACACCGGCGGCUCGAGUGGUAACCGUUAUUAUUGGGUCUAAAGGGUCUGUAGCCGGCCGGAUAAGUCUCUUGGGAAAUCCAGCAGCUCAACUGUUGGGCUUUCAGGAGAUACUGUCUGGCUCGAGGCCGGGAGAGGUGAGAGGUACUUCAGGGGUAGGGGUGAAAUCUUGUAAUCCUUGAAGGACCACCAGUGGCGAAGGCGUCUCACCAGAACGGACCUGACGGCAAGGGACGAAAGCUAGGGGCACGAACCGGAUUAGAUACCCGGGUAGUCCUAGCCGUAAACGAUACUCGCUAGGUGUCGGCCACGGUGCGACCGUUGUCGGUGCCGUAGGGAAGCCGUGAAGCGAGCCACCUGGGAAGUACGGCCGCAAGGCUGAAACUUAAAGGAAUUGGCGGGGGAGCAC
RNAcentral lists this ribosomal RNA (568 nucleotides) under uncultured archaeon. RNAcentral describes it as "bacterial SSU rRNA". It matches the Rfam family "Archaeal small subunit ribosomal RNA", at positions 310 to 879 of the family's 1478-position model. The record is from RNAcentral.